AUUGAACGCUGGCGGCAGGCCUAACACAUGCAAGUCGAGCGGAUGAAGGGAGCUUGCUCCUGGAUUCAGCGGCGGACGGGUGAGUAAUGCCUAGGAAUCUGCCUGGUAGUGGGGGAUAACGUCCGGAAACGGGCGCUAAUACCGCAUACGUCCUGAGGGAGAAAGUGGGGGAUCUUCGGACCUCACGCUAUCAGAUGAGCCUAGGUCGGAUUAGCUAGUUGGUGGGGUAAAGGCCUACCAAGGCGACGAUCCGUAACUGGUCUGAGAGGAUGAUCAGUCACACUGGAAGUGAGACACGGUCCAGACUCCUACGGGAGGCAGCAGUGGGGAAUAUUGGACGAUGGGCGAAAGCCUGAUACAGCCAUGCCGCGUGUGUGAAGAAGGUCUUCGGAUUGUAAAGCACUUUAAGUUGGGAGGAAGGGCAGUAAGUUAAUACCUUGCUGUUUUGACGUUACCAACAGAAUAAGCACCGGCUAACUUCGUG
This 484-nucleotide ribosomal RNA is filed under the name uncultured bacterium. RNAcentral's name for it is "partial 16S ribosomal RNA". It matches the Rfam family "Bacterial small subunit ribosomal RNA", at positions 30 to 507 of the family's 1533-position model. The record is from RNAcentral.